UCGGGAAUUUUGGGCAAUGGGCGAAAGCCUGACCCAGCAACGCCGCGUGAAGGAUGAAGUAUUUCGGUAUGUAAACUUCGAAAGAAUAGGAAGAAUAAAUGACGGUACUAUUUAUAAGGUCCGGCUAACUACGUGCCAGCAGCCGCGGUAAUACGUAGGGACCAAGCGUUGUUCGGAUUUACUGGGCGUAAAGGGCGCGUAGGCGGCAAUUCAAGUCAUCUGUGAAAUCUCCGGGCUUAACUCGGAACGGUCAGAUGAUACUGCUUUGCUAGAGUGUAGAAGGGGCAAUCGGAAUUCUUGGUGUAGCGGUGAAAUGCGUAGAUAUCAAGAGGAACACCUGAGGUGAAGACGGGUUGCUGGGCUGACACUGACGCUGAGGCGCGAAAGC
Molecule: ribosomal RNA, 388 nt
Filed under: uncultured bacterium
Lineage: Bacteria
Description: bacterial SSU rRNA
Rfam family: Bacterial small subunit ribosomal RNA
Source: RNAcentral